UUGACGGGGCCGCACAAGCGGUGGAGCAUGUGGUUUAAUUCGAAGCAACGCGAAGAACCUUACCAGGUCUUGACAUCCCUGACAACCCGAGAGAUCGGGCGUUCCCCUUCGGGGGACAGGGUGACAGGUGGUGCAUGGUUGUCGUCAGCUCGUGUCGUGAGAUGUUGGGUUAAGUCCCGCAACGAGCGCAACCCUCGACCUUAGUUGCCAGCAUUCAGUUGGGCACUCUAAGGUGACUGCCGGCUAAAAGUCGGAGGAAGGUGGGGAUGACGUCAAAUCAUCAUGCCCCUUAUGACCUGGGCUACACACGUGCUACAAUGGGCGGUACAAAGGGUCGCGAACCCGCGAGGGGGAGCCAAUCCCAAAAAGCCGCUCUCAGUUCGGAUUGCAGGCUGCAACUCGCCUGCAUGAAGCCGGAAUCGCUAGUAAUCGCGGAUCAGCAUGCCGCGGUCGAAUACGUUCCCGGGCCUU
Molecule: ribosomal RNA, 471 nt
Filed under: uncultured Anoxybacillus sp.
Lineage: Bacteria; Bacillati; Bacillota; Bacilli; Caryophanales; Anoxybacillaceae
Description: bacterial SSU rRNA
Rfam family: Bacterial small subunit ribosomal RNA
Source: RNAcentral